GCCGGCGUAGCUCAACAGGUAGAGCGGCUCCCUUGUAAGGAGACGGCCCGAGAGGGAAUUGCGGGUUCGAGUCCCGCCGCCGGCU
This 85-nucleotide transfer RNA is filed under the name Limnochorda pilosa. It matches the Rfam family "tRNA". From Rfam's summary of the family: Transfer RNA (tRNA) molecules are approximately 80 nucleotides in length. Their secondary structure includes four short double-helical elements and three loops (D, anti-codon, and T loops). Lineage: Bacteria; Bacillati; Bacillota; Limnochordia; Limnochordales; Limnochordaceae. The record is from Rfam by way of RNAcentral.